Long non-coding RNA from Zonotrichia leucophrys gambelii, 322 nucleotides. RefSeq lists it as uncharacterized. The record is from RefSeq and is a predicted model, not a curated record. The transcript has 2 exons. NCBI's taxonomy places the organism in Eukaryota, Metazoa, Chordata, Aves, Passeriformes, Passerellidae.
CCGAGCUGCGCCGAAGAGACCAACACAGCUAAAUGCGGCCGACCAUCGCCGAGCUGAGCCGACAACAGCUGAAUUUAGCCGAACAGCUCAGAACAGCGUGAAGACUGAAAGUGUAAGAAGAUGUGGAGGAAAACAAAGAAUCCGACAGGAGCAUCGAACGCACAAGUGCACGAACUUCCCUUUUUGCUUGGAUUUACACUCAGACGUUGUAAGGAAUUUGGGAAUGAGAAAAGACAUUUCAGAAGAAGAAAAAGUUGUUGUUACAAUCCUGGCAAAACUUUUGUUCUAUCUAAUAAAAACAAAUUAGUUUAAAAAAAAAAAA